Molecule: unclassified non-coding RNA, 753 nt
Filed under: Hevea brasiliensis (rubber tree)
Lineage: Eukaryota; Viridiplantae; Streptophyta; Magnoliopsida; Malpighiales; Euphorbiaceae
Source: RNAcentral
GGCAUGUCACAAGAAGAAAGGUUUGUUUAUUUUAGUUAUUCUUCAAUUCAUCUCAAGAAAUGUUCAUGGUUUUGUUAUAAAAUCCUGUUCCGCUGCUAUGUAUUGUCAGUUGUUUUUUUGUUUCUUAUUCAUUCUUUAUCUUGAUAUAUUGGUGCACUUGUGUUGGGGAUGGUGAUUGUUUCAAAUGAUAUCAUUGGUAGAAGCUUAUGUGUUGGUAUGGAUUAUUUCAUUAUGGUUUUGUUUCUAGUACUCAUUUUAAUGAAUUGUAAAUCUAAUAUUUAAUUGCUAUAAAUUGCUUGUAAUAUUAUCUAAGCAUUUGUUAAGCUAGUGCAUAUGGAAUUUUACUGGAAAUUGAAAAUAAUAGCUUCUCCAUUUGUACAAGCAAGACAAGAUGGCAUAACCACGUUGUUUCUGUAAUCCACAUGGCAUAGUAACAUCAUUUAUAUAAUCCAUACUAUAUCUAAUGGAUGUCGAAUGCUAGCAAGUCUGGGCCAUGUGAUGACAUUUUAAAUCUUCAUAGGCAAUCAUCAGACAAAAAAUUAGAUGAAUAUUUUUGCAGAUUAUGGUGACAGUCUGAUUUUUAAAUGGUGUUGAUGUUGGUCAACUCUACAUUUUCAGAAGUUGCAUUAUUGAAGUCAAAUCGGCUGUGUUAACUGGUGGUUAGUUUUAAUAAAGAUUUAUUUCAUUUAUCCCUCCCUUUUUGAUUUCUGAUUUUUUUUUUGUUGUGGAAGUACCGUUCUUUUUUUUUUUUUU